Molecule: ribosomal RNA, 443 nt
Filed under: uncultured bacterium
Lineage: Bacteria
Description: partial 16S ribosomal RNA
Rfam family: Bacterial small subunit ribosomal RNA
Source: RNAcentral
CCUACGGGAGGCAGCAGUGGGGAAUAUUGGACAAUGGGCGCAAGCCUGACCCAGCGACGCCGCGUGGGGGAAGAAGGCUUUCGGGUUGUAAACUUCUUUUCUCAGGGACGAAGCAGGUGACGAUACCUCAGGAAUAAGCCGCGGCUACCUACGUACCAGCAGCCGCGGUAAUACGUGGGUGGCAAGCGUUAUCCGGAUUUACUGGGUGUAAAGGGCGUGUAGGCGGGAAAGCAAGUCAGAUGUGAAAACCACGGGCUCAACCUGUGGCCUGCAUUUGAAACUGGGUUUCUUGAGUACUGGAGAGGCAGACGGAAUUCCUAGUGUAGCGGUGAAAUGCGUAGAUAUUAGGAGGAACACCAGUGGCGAAGGCGGUCUGCUGGACAGCAACUGACGCUGAGGCGCGAAAGCGUGGGGAGCAAACAGGAUUAGAUACCCGGGUAGUC